ACGGGAGGCAGCAGUGGGGAAUAUUGGGCAAUGGGCGAAAGCCUGACCCAGCGACGCCGCGUGAAGGAAGACGGUCUUCGGAUUGUAAACUUCUUUUAUAAGGGACGAAGCAUGACGGUACCUUAUGAAUAAGCCACGGCUAACUACGUGCCAGCAGCCGCGGUAAUACGUAGGUGGCGAGCGUUAUCCGGAUUUACUGGGUGUAAAGGGUGUGUAGGCGGGAUCGCAAGUCAGAUGUGAAAACUAUGGGCUCAACUCAUAGCCUGCAUUUGAAACUGUGGUUCUUGAGGGUCGGAGAGGCAACUGGAAUUCCUGGUGUAGCGGUGAAAUGCGUAGAUAUCAGGAGGAACACCGGUGGCGAAGGCGGGUUGCUGGACGAUUACUGACGCUGAGACACGAAAGCGUGGGGAGCAAACAGGAUUAGAUACCCUGGUA
RNAcentral lists this ribosomal RNA (435 nucleotides) under uncultured Oscillospiraceae bacterium. RNAcentral describes it as "partial 16S ribosomal RNA". It matches the Rfam family "Bacterial small subunit ribosomal RNA", at positions 341 to 792 of the family's 1533-position model. The record is from RNAcentral. Lineage: Bacteria; Bacillati; Bacillota; Clostridia; Eubacteriales; Oscillospiraceae.